GAUGAACGCUGGCGGCGUGCCUAAUACAUGCAAGUCGAGCGAACAGACGAGGAGCUUGCUCCUCUGACGUUAGCGGCGGACGGGUGAGUAACACGUGGAUAACCUACCUAUAAGACUGGGAUAACUUCGGGAAACCGGAGCUAAUACCGGAUAAUAUAUUGAACCGCAUGGUUCAAUAGUGAAAGACGGUUUUGCUGUCACUUAUAGAUGGAUCCGCGCCGCAUUAGCUAGUUGGUAAGGUAACGGCUUACCAAGGCGACGAUGCGUAGCCGACCUGAGAGGGUGAUCGGCCACACUGGAACUGAGACACGGUCCAGACUCCUACGGGAGGCAGCAGUAGGGAAUCUUCCGCAGUGGGCGAAAGCCUGACGGAGCAACGACGCGUGAGUGAUGAAGGUCUUCGGAUCGUAAAACUCUGUUAUUAGGGAAGAACAAAUGUGUAAGUAACUAUGCACGUCUUGACGGUACCUAAUCAGAAAGCCACGGCUAACUACGUG
RNAcentral lists this ribosomal RNA (497 nucleotides) under uncultured bacterium. Its description in RNAcentral is "partial 16S ribosomal RNA". It matches the Rfam family "Bacterial small subunit ribosomal RNA", at positions 28 to 507 of the family's 1533-position model. The record is from RNAcentral.